CCUGCGUUUCUCGCAGGCGCAGUAGUUCUCUCGGAGGAUGAGUUGCUCGUGAUCUCUUCCGCUCGCUCGAGUUCUUAGGGUGGUUGCCGAGGCAGCAGCCCAAAGAAUAUGGCGGCCAGAAGGAGGAAGUCCGGAGGUUUGCCGAGCGUUGUGGUGCCCUCAUAUAACUGUGCAAGCGGAGCAGGACUGGGAGCUCUAAAACCGCCUCGGACCGUCCUUCUUUCGAUCUAAGUCUUUCGAGCAGGAGGUGCGAUCUGACUCCACCGAAUCGCGGGAUCUUAUUGAGGAAGUCGGGUUCUUGCCAAGCAAGGCAUUGCAACACCUGAUCACUGAGAGCCCGGCUUAGGUCAUCUUCAAGAUGGUGUAUGAAGCCCUUCAAGUAUCAUGGAGAAUAAAGUAAGCAGCCAUUCAAAUGAGACUUACCACUCAUGUCCAAGAUAAGGUACUGCAGAUUUACUUCACCCUUCCUAGCGAUGGCAUCUUCCUCUUCUAUCCAUCUCAAGAUCCUAGUUUUGGUAAAAACAAGAGAUGAGCUUGAACCAAGCUUUGAUAGAUCCUCAACUAUCUCAGGUCCAUGACAUCUUUUCCUUACCUCUCUCUCAGAUAGCCAGUGCUUGCAUAGUAGAUAGGAGAACCCAGUUUCAAAAUCAAAAUGUUAGGGAAAAGAACUGAGUCUGGAUAUUGCUCCACAUCACAAUAAGCUUCAGUUCCCUUUAUGUUUCCGAGCUUGCAAGUAGUUGGUCGUGCCACAUAUAAUAAUGCCCUCAGUAUUGACAGACCUACCUGUACAAGAAGGUAAUAUAGAAAACAUGGUUGAUAUGGACAAAAGAUGAUGAUGAUAUAGAAAUAGUUUGGGCAGCCAAUUGAUUCGUCUUUAAUCAAUUCCUUUAUGAUCAAACAGCCAAGAAAGGGAGAAGUUAACUUGUGCAUAGGAGUCUUACUGAAGCCAAAAGUCCAACAGUCAUGCUGAAAAAUAUGACACCAAAGAAAGCUGCCACGCAAAUGACAAAGUCAAACUUGUCCACCUCGAGAAGGCGGUGAGCUUCUUCAAACUUAAUGAGCCCAGUCAUGGCAACGAUGAUGAUUGCUGAUAGGGCUACUAGAGGAGUGUAUUUGAAGAGAGGUGCCAAGAACAACAGCACCACCAUGAUGCACAUUGACAUGACCACAUUUGACAUCGCCGUCUUGCAUCCUGCAUGGAAGUUAACUGCUGACCUGGAAAAAGGACCUGUAAUAUAAGCGUUGCAUUAUUCAUCAAAAAUUUAUUUGAAAAACCAUUAUUAAUCUAACAUAUCUCUUGUUUGUUCAGACUGUAAAGUGUUCUGAUUACAAAAAAAAUUCCAAGGACAGAUUUGCUUGGUAAA
Long non-coding RNA from Musa acuminata AAA Group (dessert banana), 1364 nucleotides. RefSeq lists it as uncharacterized. The transcript has 2 exons. Lineage: Eukaryota; Viridiplantae; Streptophyta; Magnoliopsida; Zingiberales; Musaceae. The record is from RefSeq and is a predicted model, not a curated record.